RNAcentral lists this ribosomal RNA (465 nucleotides) under uncultured bacterium. RNAcentral describes it as "partial 16S ribosomal RNA". It matches the Rfam family "Bacterial small subunit ribosomal RNA", at positions 338 to 795 of the family's 1533-position model. The record is from RNAcentral.
CCUACGGGGGGCAGCAGUGGGGAAUAUUGCGCAAUGGGCGAAAGCCUGACGCAGCGACGCCGCGUGAGGGAUGAAGGUCUUCGGAUCGUAAACCUCUGUCAGCCGGGAAGCACGGUCACUGUGCUAAUCAGCAGUGAAUUGACGGUACCUGCAAAGGAAGCACCGGCUAACUCCGUGCCAGCCGCCGCGGUAAUACGGAGGGUGCGAGCGUUGAUCGGAAUUACUGGGCGUAAAGCGGUCGUAGGCGGUAUGUCAAGUCAAGGGUGAAAGCCCCGCGCUCAACGUGGGAACUGCCUUUGAAACGGGCAAACUGGAGUGGGUGAGAGGAUAGUGGAAUUCCAGGUGUAGGAGUGAAAUCCGUAGAUAUCGGGAGGAACAUCAGUGGCGAAGGCGACUAUCUGGCACAUAACUGACGCUGAGGAGCGAAAGCGUGGGUAGCAAACAGGAUUAGAUACCCUAGUAGUC